RNAcentral lists this ribosomal RNA (253 nucleotides) under uncultured bacterium. Its description in RNAcentral is "partial 16S ribosomal RNA". It matches the Rfam family "Bacterial small subunit ribosomal RNA", at positions 524 to 776 of the family's 1533-position model. The record is from RNAcentral.
UACGAAGGGGGCUAGCGUUGUUCGGAAUUACUGGGCGUAAAGGGCGCGUAGGCGGUGUGUCAAGUCAGGCGUGAAAGCCCCGGGCUCAACCUGGGAACCGCGCUUGAGACUGGCACGCUAAAGUUCGGGAGAGGAUGGUGGAAUUCCCAGUGUAGAGGUGAAAUUCGUAGAUAUUGGGAAGAACACCGAUGGCGAAGGCAGCCAUCUGGACCGACACUGACGCUGAGGCGCGAAAGCGUGGGGAGCAAACAGG